GGAAUGUAGCUCAGUUGGUAGAGUGCUUACCUAGCAUACAUAAGGCGCUGGGUUCAAUUCCCAGCAACAUCCA
Molecule: transfer RNA, 73 nt
Filed under: Marmota monax (woodchuck)
Lineage: Eukaryota; Metazoa; Chordata; Mammalia; Rodentia; Sciuridae
Description: tRNA.Undet
Source: RNAcentral